CACACACACAACACGGCUAGUGAGCAGUGUGCGUAUACAAUGUAGAGAAGAAACAAGAAAAUAAUGGUUAUUAGUUGUUAGAAAUCCGGCUUUCUUCUGCUACCGCGGCCACUGUCGCUACUGUUGUUGCAGUAGUUGUUUAUUAAGCUGUCCAAACGUGCGCACGUUUCGGGUACACGUGAGCCGAGCAGGCGCGCAGCCACCUUCGGAGAACGUUUUCCAUAACGUGCCGCAAGUUGAAGUAGGAUAGAAAAUCAACCAAGCGCAGUCGGCAUAAUGGAUUGUUUGUGUAGCCGGCAAAAAGCUCUCAGCGUGGUCAGCACUCAUGUGUGCGUGUGUUUGAGUGUGCGUUCAAUCUGUAGCUAUUGUGCUCGCAAAAGUAGAAUAAGCUUGGCACAAUGCACGAACGCAGUGCCGUAAACAGCGUCUGUUCCCCCACCCUAUUAUGGAGCUCAUGUAAUUGCAUGUGAGUUCGCGUGGAAAUGCAAUUUCGCAUAGGCAAGCCGGCUCUCAACGCUCUGUGCAUAACUCACUAGAACGCGAACUAUCGCCGUGGACGGAUGUGCUUGCGCGCAAAAGUCAACUAAUAUUCGGAAAUAAAAAUAUCAUAUUAUAUCUCCCAAGUGAAAGAGAAAUUUCAUUUCCAAGCAGAGAAGUUCUUCUAAAAACAAAAACAAAUGCUUAAGUUUGCAACGGAAGUGCCGCAAAAUUGUAAAGCAAGUUGUUUAUCGAUAACGCUUACAUUUUGCCGCUCGUAAACAUAUAAUAACGAAUGUAUGUAUAAUUGCUUCGCUGGCUUUUGAAAUUGUUGUAACUGUUUCACUGAAUGAACGUUUAGUGCCAUGCUUUUAUGAGGCUUUAUAAACUACUAUUACAAUAAGGAAAAGUAAAUAAAAAAUGCAAAAAUAAAGUAAACAAAAUAAAUAAAAAAAAUAACAAAUAAAUCAAAUAAAAAACCAAUAAAGAUCUCUAAUUUGGAUUACAAAUUUAGCUUCGAACGAGGUCAAUAAAUUUACGCUGGACAGUGUGAUAAAACUUAUAGAUAACGAGUAUUAAUUUCGAAGAUUUUGAAAAGACGCUAGCCUCCUAAUUGCUAACACUCUUUUCCAACACCGUUUCGCUAACAAAUCGGCCAAAUGAGUGUCGAAGAGGACGAUCACGUUCUACAAACUUAAAAGUCAAUCAAUUACAAUAAUAACAAGCUUGUAAUGGACUGGUUAUUGGCAACGCCACAGAUACACAGCGCUUUCUCAUCAUUGGGUUCCCUCGAGGGGGAUACCUACGUUGUUGGUCCCAAUGCGUUAUCAAUCCUGGAUGAAAUAAACUAUAAGCUCACCUAUGAAGAUCAAACGUUACGCACAUUCCGCCGUGCCAUCGGUUUCGGCCAAAAUGUGCGUUCCGAUUUGAUACCGCUAUUAGAGAAUACAAAGGAUGAUGCUGUGCUCGACUCGGUCAUACGCAUUUUGGUUAAUUUGACAGUGCCUGUAGAGUGCCUUUUCUCGGUAGAUGUUAUGUAUCGCACCGAAGUCGGUCGACACACCAUCUUCGAGUUGAACAAGUUGCUCUAUACGAGUAAGGAGGCUUUCACUGAUCCGAAGAGCACAAAAUCGGUUGUAGAAUAUAUGAAAUAUUUGCUGGAGUCCGAUCCGAAAUUGUCAUUACAAAAAUGUGACAAAAUCAAUAAUUGCCUGCUAUUGUUGCGCAAUGUACUGCACAUACCAGAGAUGAAUGUGAACUUUGUAAUGCCGUUGGCGCAUUCACAACAAGGUGGUUCACAUCCGGUGUCGAUGCAAAAUGCGAUACUUUGGAAUCUCUUCAUACAAAGUAUUGACAAACUUUUGCUUUACCUGAUGACUUGUCCGCAUCGUGCUUUUUGGGGUGUAACAAUGGUGCAACUGAUCGCUUUGAUGUACAAAGAUCAACAUGUCAGCACGCUACAGAAGCUUUUGAAUUUGUGGUUUGAGGCUUCGCUAUCGGAGAGUUCGGAGGAUAAUGAGAGCAAUACCUCACCGCCGAAACAGGGUAGUGGCGAUUCGAGUCCAAUGCUAACGUCGGAUCCCACAUCAGAUUCAUCGGACAAUGGUAGUAACGGUUGUAAGAAUGAGUGUGCCGAAGAGCGACGACAGGCUUUGCGCGAGGAGGCGACCGAAGCCACGCUGCAGGAGGUUAGCCGCAAGGGUCACGAAUAUCAAAACUCGAUGAUGUGUGAUACGCAUGUAAAGAAGGAGGUCGACGACGUGGACACGGGCAGUACCGACAAUAAUGUCGAGAAUGAACAAAUGUGCACGUCCUUGCUAACUACAACACGUAGUACUAAUACUUCACCGACAUCCAUUAAAGUGGAAACCAUGGACGAGAUGGCCGAUGGUGAAAGCGAAGCUGGUUGCUUGGGCAAAACUAACGGUGACUCACCACAGACUUGUGAUAUGAUUGGUGAGAGCAGCAACCAACAAAAACAACAAAACCAACAACCAACUGAACCCAAACAAAGCACUACCACUGCAGAGGCGAAAAAAGCUGACGCCGAUGCGGUUAAAUUUAAGGCGCCAACAGGUAUCAUAAAACCCAAGCCACUCUCGCAAAUGAUGGCCGACAUGCACGAAGAGGAAAACGAUCCACCACCACAGAAAAUGUUCCAGAAGGUGCCACACUCGGGCCAAUUGAAUCUAACUAAAGGCAAGAGUUGUCCGCAAAAGCGUGAGUGUCCCUCUUCGCAAUCGGAGCUGUCGGACUGCGGCUAUGGCACACAAGUGGAAAAUCAAGAAUCCAUAUCCACUUCAAGCAAUGAUGACGACGGACCACAGGGUAAACCGCAACAUCAGAAACCACCAUGUAACAGUAAGCAACGCAGCAAGCAACGUAUUGUGAUGGCGAUGGUGGACAAGAAGGAACUGCGACGCAAGAAACUCGUCAAGCGUAGCAAGAGCAGUCUCAUCAACAUGAAAGGCCUGGUACAACAUACGCCCACCGAUGAAGACAUCUCUAAUUUAUUGAAAGAGUUCACUGUCGAUUUUCUACUCAAAGGUUAUGGUUGUCUAGUGGGCGAGCUGCAUUCGCAGCUACUUACCAAUAUUAAAAUUCCCAUCGAUACAUCGCAUUUCUUCUGGCUGGUCACCUACUUUCUGAAAUUUGCCGCCCAAUUAGAGCUCGAUAUGGAGCAUAUUAAUGCUGUGCUCACCUUCGAUGUCAUCAGUUAUCUAACUUACGAGGGUGUUACUUUGUGCGAGCAAUUAGAAUUGAAUUCCCGUCAAGAGGGUAGUGAUUUGAAACCAUAUUUGAGACGCAUGCAUUUGGUCGUAACGGCCAUACGAGAGUUUUUACAGGCCAUCGAAACAUAUAAGAAAGUAACACAUUUGAGUGAGGAUGAUCGUUUACAUUUGCGACGUCUACAGACACAAAUCAGUUCCACCGAAGAUUUGCGCUGUCUAUUCGUAUUACUUUUACGACGAUUCAACCCAAAUCUGCACACCAAACAGUAUCUACAAGAUUUGAUUGUAACCAAUCAUCUGUUACUGCUAAUACUGGAUUUUAUAACCCAAACAGAAGGCGAUACCAGCAUCAAGAUGACAGAGCACAUCUCACAAUUCGCCACGCUUGAGGUGAUGAACUAUUAUGGCAUGCUACUGGAGGACUUCAACAAUAAUGGCGAGUUUGUAAAUGAUUGUAUAUUCACGAUGAUGCAUCAUGUAGGCGGUGAUCUAGGACAGAUUGGCACAUUAUUCCAACCGAUUAUAUUGAAAACCUUCUCACGCAUUUGGGAGGCCGAUUAUGAGCUUUGCGAUGACUGGUCCGAUCUAAUUGAGUAUGUCAUACAUAAGUUUAUAAAUACACCACAAAAAAGUCCAUUGUCCUUGCCAAAAACUUCACUAACCGAGUUAACCAAGGAACACAACCUGGAGAACACAGUGUGCGCCUGGACACAAGAGGAAAUGGACACCUUAUAUUGGUAUUAUGUGCAAAGCAAGAAGAAUAAUGAUAUAGUCGGCAAGAUCGUGAAACUAUUCAGUAAUAACGGCAAUAAACAGAAGUCACGUAUCUCGAUUAUACAACAACUGCUGCAGCAGGACAUUAUAACCUUACUGGAGUACGAUGAUCUUAUGAAAUUCGAAGAUGCUGAGUAUCAACGUGCUUUACUAACGACACCAACAUCGACUUCUACUGAAUCGGGCAUUGAGCUGAAGAAUUCUUCCUCUUUUGCUAAGCCCUCUGAUGAUAUACAGAUUUUACGUGAUCUAAUUGUCAAGGAGAAUAAGGAGAAACAUUUGGUUUGGUUGCAAAAGAUAUUGCUGGAAUGUUGUUACAUAAAAUUAAUUUUGAAAAAUUGUUUACAACGUGAAGAUCGUCAGAAUUUACAAUACGUCAUGGAACCGGUAGCUUAUCAUUAUAUAUUGAAAAACAAAUCCAUACCGGUUGUGCAGUGGAACACCGAUCAGGCGACAACGAUGCUCUAUCAACCAUUCGUAUUGCUGCUACACAAGCUGGGUUUCCAGUUACCGGCAGAUGCCGGUUCAAUAUUCGCACGCAUACCGGACUACUGGACCGCUGAAAUGAUGUUUAGCUUGGCGCGCAAAUUGGGACCGUUAGACAAACGUGAGUAAUUAUUAAAGGUGGGGUAUAUGUUGAGUGGUCAAUGUUAACAAUUUUGAGCGUAUCGCUUUGUCCUUCUUUUUCUUUUUUCUCUGCCAAAUAAUAACUAAAUAAAUAAUAACAAUUCGACAACACAACAACAAUCAAUUUAAAAUUAUUAUCAAAUGGAUAAAUAAUAAUAAUAAUAAACAACAACAUAUUUUCAAAAUGAUUUCUACAAGCAAAAACAAAUCGACAAAAAUUAAUUCUAUUAUCAAUUUAUGCACAAAUCGAUAUAAAAUUAAAUAAAACAAAAAAAUAUUAUAAAAUUCCAAUUGUAAUAUUUCGUACUAAAUGUCAAUUGUAAUGCACCCCGCACGUUCAUCAACGUUCAUUUUCUUUAUGUAAACUUGCAAUGUUGUCUGCUAUCUUUCUAUUAUCCUUUUACCACUCCACUCUCUCUGUGUGUAUUUCUCUCGCUCUGUCUCUCUUGUGCUUUUGAUCUUGUAGUGUUGAUCAAGUUCGAUAUGAGUCAGUUUGAGGAAGCAAAUGCAAUAGAGUUGCAGCGUUGCCAUCAUGCAACAGCGGCGCGUGGUUCGCUCAGCUCAAUGUCCAGCCUGGAGAUGGAUAUCGGCGGUUCCGAUGAGUACACGACAUUAGUAGCAAGCGCAAUGGAAAAUGCCAAUGUAAAUGGAAAUACAAAUGGUAAUGGUAUUGGAACUACAACUAGCAGAGUAAGCAGUAAUAGGCGUUCGAGCAGCGGUAGUGGUAGCAUGUUGGCGCCGGUACCCGAGGUCGAUGCUAAAUUGGAGAAGGCAAGCGCGGCUAGCGAUGUUUUUGCUGUGCCAAAAUCGAAGCACUGCAAUCCCAUUAUAAGAUUUACACCAGAUCCGGCACCACUGCCGCCUGUGCCAAAUUGGUUGCAGUUGGUGAUGCGAAGCAAAAUAAAUACGAAUGUUCCAGUGACAACGGAUACCGCCCAUAACAAUAACAAUAAUAACGCAAUAGCAGCAACAACAACAAGUGAAAGCACAAUAACAACUCCAACUGUGUUGUCCACAUUGGUGACAACUGCCUCGGCAACAACGCCAACAACAACAACAGCAACAAUAACAACUAUACAACAACACAAUGUUUUAGUUACGGCAACAACAUCAACAAUUGGUUUAGCGCCAGCCACAACAAUACUAAUCCCCACAGACCAGUGUCCAUCCAUCAACAAUAUAAUUGGCUUGAAUAAUGAGAGGAAUAAUAACAACAACAAUAAUAAUAUUAAUAAUAAUAGUGGCAACACUGAGUGCAGCACAAAGAGUAACAACAAAAAUGUCAACGAUUUGAACAAACACAAGAGUGACAGCAACAUGAAUGCCGUCAGCGACAACAGCAGCAGCAACAGCAACAUUGGUAACAACAACAACAAUAAUAGCAGCACCAGCAGCGGUGGUUUAAGCGUAGGCGAUGGUUGUGUUGGCGGCGGCAGCUACACGGGCAGCGAGAGUGGCGGCAGCAACACAAUCAUCAAUGGCGACACAAAUGCUAGCAGCAGUGGCAGCCACAGCUACCACAACGGUAAACAUGAGAACAACAUUGCGGUAAUCGCACAGUGUGGCAUGCGCAAACACGCCGCAUUGCCGGCAAGCGCAACAAUGUCUGCGGUGACAGCAACAGCGAUGGCAGCGGCGGCGGCGGCAGCCGUGGUAGCAACUGACAAUUUUAUCAUUUAUCAGAAGCAACAACAACAGCUGCAGCAACAACAGCAGCAGCAAAAUCAUCAGCAACAAUUGUUGCUACAACAACAACCACAUUUCGAUGCUGCAAUUAAGACAUAUGAUUGCGGUGAGCAGACGACAUGCAACGAUUUGAGUUUCGGUGGCAUUGCUGCUGGUGUUGGUGUGGGCAGCAACGGCGGGGGCGUCGGUAGCGGAGGCGGUGUUGGUGCAUUAAGCGCACUUGCCGGUUUGAACAGCAAUUUGGAGAGCGAAUACAGCGCUAUGGUCGCGUCGGUGUACGAGCACGAGAUCGCUUACAGCGACUGUGCAUCUGUUGCCUCGGACUUAACCCGUAUGUACGUCAGCGAUGAGGAGGACAAAAAUGAGUUUCCUGUCACGCAUUUCACUUGAAAACGUUAACGAAACACUUCCACUACACAAACAUAUACAAAAACAAAAACAUAUACAUAUUAAUUAAUGUAAAAAAGUAAAAAAAAAAGUGUAAAGAUCUAAUCGAUGUUAAAACUUAAGAACGUAAGAAUAUAAAAACACUUUCUUCUACAAUUGGCCUUUACAGAGUAAAGAAUGUGAUCUUGCAAAGGGAAAUGCUUUAUACUAUUGCAUAUUGAAAUGUUAAGUAAAAAAGAAGAAGUUAAACUAUUACUAAACUGGUUUCUAAAACGCUGGCCUAGCUAAGUAUAUCUAAACAGUCUAUACAGACAUAUAAAAAUAUAAAAAACUAGUACUUCCUACGUGUACACAAAAUGCUGUUAUUUUCCUAUUUUCCCAUUUUCUAAACUAAAUAAAAUCUAAAAGCGACAAUUACUGUUAUGA
Non-coding RNA from Bactrocera oleae (olive fruit fly), 7109 nucleotides. The record is from RefSeq and is a predicted model, not a curated record. Lineage: Eukaryota; Metazoa; Arthropoda; Insecta; Diptera; Tephritidae.